UUGACCUCAAAUCAGGUAGGACUACCCGCUGAACUUAAGCAUAUCAAUAAGCGGAGGAAAAGAAACUAACAAGGAUUCCCCUAGUAACUGCGAGUGAAGAGGGAAAAGCUCAAAUUUAAAAUCUGGCAGCUUCGCU
This 136-nucleotide ribosomal RNA is filed under the name Armillaria gallica. Its description in RNAcentral is "partial large subunit ribosomal RNA". It matches the Rfam family "Eukaryotic large subunit ribosomal RNA", at positions 1 to 135 of the family's 3401-position model. The record is from RNAcentral. Lineage: Eukaryota; Fungi; Basidiomycota; Agaricomycetes; Agaricales; Physalacriaceae.